GCUUUCAAGAGUCAAGUUGUUUGGGAUUGCAGCUUAAAAUGGGAGGUAAAUUUCUCCUAAGGCUAAAUAACGGCGAGAGGCCGAUAGCGAACAAGUACCGUGAGGGAAAGAUGAAAAGAACUUUGAAAAGAGAGUUAAACAGUACGUGAAAUUGUUGAAAGGGAAACGAUUGAAGCCAGUCGUACCUGCGGGUAAUCAGCCUUUUGGGCAUGAUUCUGUGGAGCGUGAGGAGUUAAACGCCUUCAUGCCUGCAUAUUCGUGUACUUUGGGUGUACUUGCCUGUGUGGUUAGUUAACAUCAGUUUUGGUUAUCGUAAAAUGGUUGGAGGAAUGUAGCUUCGAUUUCGAUUGAAGUGUUUAUAGCCUUCGGCAGAUGUGAUGAUCGGGAUUGAGGAUUGCAACGGAUACCCUUCGGGGCUACCUGUCUGAUCUCUGAUCGUUUCUCUGGUGCCGAAAGCGUGCUUACGGUUAUCAAAGUCGAUGGUCAAUAGGUUAGAAUGGGUCAAAUUCGUUA
Molecule: ribosomal RNA, 513 nt
Rfam family: Eukaryotic large subunit ribosomal RNA